This 70-nucleotide transfer RNA is filed under the name Marmota monax (woodchuck). RNAcentral's name for it is "tRNA.Ala". Lineage: Eukaryota; Metazoa; Chordata; Mammalia; Rodentia; Sciuridae. The record is from RNAcentral.
GGGCUGGGGUUCAGCGGUAAAGAGCUCACCUGGCAUGUGCGAGGUGCUGAGUUCGAUCCUCAGCACCACA